This 303-nucleotide ribosomal RNA is filed under the name uncultured bacterium. RNAcentral's name for it is "partial 16S ribosomal RNA". It matches the Rfam family "Bacterial small subunit ribosomal RNA", at positions 507 to 809 of the family's 1533-position model. The record is from RNAcentral.
AGCAGUCGCCACGGUAAAACGUAGGUGGCAAGCGUUGUCCGGAAUUAUUGGGCGUAAAGCGCGCGCAGGCGGAUCAGUUAGUCUGUCUUAAAAGUUCGGGGCUUAACCCCGUGAGGGGAUGGAAACUGCUGAUCUAGAGUAUCGGAGAGGAAAGUGGAAUUCCUAGUGUAGCGGUGAAAUGCGUAGAUAUUAGGAAGAACACCAGUGGCGAAAGCGACUUUCUGGACGAAAACUGACGCUGAGGCGCGAAAGCCAGGGGAGCGAACGGGAUUAGAUACCCGUGUAGUCCCUGUCUCUUAUACA